Molecule: long non-coding RNA, 1363 nt
Organism: Xenopus laevis (African clawed frog)
Lineage: Eukaryota; Metazoa; Chordata; Amphibia; Anura; Pipidae
Exons: 3
Source: RefSeq, a predicted model, not a curated record
AGCUGCUUGUUUAGAUUGCCUGCCUCCCCCUGCAAUUCUCUCUCUCCCUGCUCGUUUACCUUGCCGUUCCUUUAGAGUGCCUGCCUCCCCCUGCAUUUCUCUCUCUCUCUGGAGCCUCAGCCUUGCUCUCCAGCGGGAGGUUCACUCAUCACUGCCUGAUGCUGUGCCUCUCACUCAGGCUCCCACUACGUUACUCACUGGCUGCAUUUUAACUUCCGGUGCUGUGCGGCGGAACAGCGUCGGGGACGCGCACAAAGUGGUCGCCUUUUCGCCGUUUUCCAUGGCAAUGGAGAAUAGGAAAUCCUAAUUGGCCAGCUUCUGUAGUGGCCCCAAUUCUGAAGGAAUGAGUACAAAAAAUCUCUGGGGAUAUGGAAUUUGCCUUUAAACAGGCUCUAAAAAUUGGUAACGGGAAAACAAAACUACCAUCUUCGUGGAUAAGAAAUUGGCCCUGGUUGUCUCUUCUUAUAUUCAGUGCAUACCCUUGUGAAUCCUGAACUGGACUGAAACUCAAGCAGCCCUUGUAAUACAAUUACCCAUCCUACAAUAUGAGUUUAUAGUAGAUCAGUACAGCCUCUUCAUUAGUGUGCUUGUUCAUUUGUAUUAUUUCCAAUUUUUAUUAACAUUAAGUUUAUUUUGAUUUUCUUUUGGAGGUCUUUAUUUUAGUGUUGCAUAAUACACUAUGCAUUUCAUUUGCGCUCAUUUUUCUUACUUUCUACAGUACACCAUAUAUUCCGAAGCAUUUUUUAUAACAUACUUUAUACAGCUAUUUAGCAAUCUGCUUUUGCAGCUUAUAGCUUUAUUUAAUACAGUGGCAUGUAUAUUUUAUGCAACUGUUAAUCUAUUUACUGUUUAGGUAUUUGUUGGAGUAUUUGGAACUGUAGCAUGUACAUUCUGAAUAUUCUGUAUAACAUCUCAACAUUUGGUUCCUUUCCUUCUUACAGGUUUAGUUAUCACUGUAGGUGGGCAGGUAAAUUGUGGCAAUAAUGAGAACUUGAGAUAUCAUUGUGGAAGUCCCAGCUGCAAUUACUCAGUUUCAAACUGUGUCACAAGCAGCCCACCACUGUUCUAAUUCUUCCUCUGGCCCAGAGCUGGCACAGUAAUAUAAGAUGGCAACAUCUUUCAUGCAACUAGCCAUUUUUUGUAAAAGAUGCAGAGGACCAUGCUUUCAGGGACUUCAUUUUUUAAAAUAAAAAUUAUUUUCUGAAUAGAAUGAUGUAAAUAAGCAUCCAGUUAUUUCUUUACAUAAGUACUUUUUUUCAUACAGGAAUACUGGAGGCCUCAUCACCUCCAUUUACUCAUUUAAAUAUGUACCUUUAUAUGCUGUUAUAUAUUUUCAUGCCUACAAGUAAACGUGGCCAUACAC